CCCUUAGAUGUUCUGGGCCGCACACGCGCUACACUGAAGGAGGCAGCGUGUACUCCUGGAUCGAAAGAUUUGGGUAACCCGCGAAUCUCCUUCGUGCUAGGGAUUGAGGUUUGCAAUUAUCCUUCAUGAACGAGGAAUUCCCAGUAAGUGCAAGUCAUAAGCUUGCGCUGACUACAUCCCUGCCCUUUGUACACACCGCCCGUCGCUACUACCGAUUGAAUGAUUUAGUGAGGACUUCGGACUGGGACCGAUGCGGCUUUCGGGCUGCGUCGGUAUUCUGGAAAGAUGUCCAAACUGUAUCAUUUAGAGAAAGUAAAAGUCGUAACA
This 327-nucleotide ribosomal RNA is filed under the name uncultured eukaryote. Its description in RNAcentral is "partial 18S ribosomal RNA". It matches the Rfam family "Eukaryotic small subunit ribosomal RNA", at positions 1470 to 1796 of the family's 1831-position model. The record is from RNAcentral.